UACGGAGGAUCCGAGCGUUAUCCGGAUUUAUUGGGUUUAAAGGGUGCGUAGGCGGCCUUUUAAGUCAGCGGUGAAAGUCUGUGGCUCAACCAUAGAAUUGCCGUUGAAACUGGGGGGCUUGAGUAUGUUUGAGGCAGGCGGAAUGCGUGGUGUAGCGGUGAAAUACAUAGAUAUCACGCAGAACCCCGAUUGCGAAGGCAGCCUGCCAAGCCAUGACUGACGCUGAUGCACGAAAGCGUGGGGAUCGAACAGG
Molecule: ribosomal RNA, 253 nt
Filed under: uncultured bacterium
Lineage: Bacteria
Description: partial 16S ribosomal RNA
Rfam family: Bacterial small subunit ribosomal RNA
Source: RNAcentral